UAGGGAAUUUUCGUCAAUGGGGGGAAGCCCUGAACGAGCAAUGCCGCGUGUGUGAAGAAGGUCUUCGGAUCGUAAAGCACUGUUGUAAGUGAAGAAUGCCAUAUAGAGGAAAUGCUAUGUGGGUGACGGUAGCUUACCAGAAAGCCACGGCUAACUACGUGCCAGCAGCCGCGGUAAUACGUAGGUGGCAAGCGUUAUCCGGAAUCAUUGGGCGUAAAGGGUGCGUAGGUGGCACGAUAAGUCUGAAGUAAAAGGCAACAGCUCAACUGUUGUAUGCUUUGGAAACUGUCGAGCUAGAGUGCAGAAGAGGGCGAUGGAAUUCCAUGUGUAGCGGUAAAAUGCGUAGAUAUAUGGAGAAACACCAGUGGCGAAGGCGGUCGCCUGGUCUGUAACUGACACUGAUGCACGAAAGCGUGGGGAGCAAAUAGGAUUAGAUACC
RNAcentral lists this ribosomal RNA (439 nucleotides) under uncultured bacterium. Its description in RNAcentral is "bacterial SSU rRNA". It matches the Rfam family "Bacterial small subunit ribosomal RNA", at positions 355 to 786 of the family's 1533-position model. The record is from RNAcentral.